This 472-nucleotide ribosomal RNA is filed under the name uncultured bacterium. RNAcentral describes it as "bacterial SSU rRNA". It matches the Rfam family "Bacterial small subunit ribosomal RNA", at positions 355 to 825 of the family's 1533-position model. The record is from RNAcentral.
UCGGGAAUUUUGGGCAAUGGGCGAAAGCCUGAUCCAGCCAUGCCGCGUGAGUGAAGAAGGCCUUCGGGUUGUAAAGCUCUUUCAGCCGGAAAGAAAACGGACAGGAUAAUACCCUGGGGUAAUGACGGUACCUGAAGAAUAAGCACCGGCUAACUACGUGCCAGCAGCCGCGGUAAUACAGAGGGUGCAAGCGUUGUUCGGAAUUACUGGGCGUAAAGCGCGUGUAGGCGGCGUCGUGAGUCAUAUGUGAAAGCCCUCGGCUCAACCGAGGAAGUGCAUGUGAUACUGCGAUGCUUGAGUGUUGGAGGGGGUGGCGGAAUUCCCGGUGUAGAGGUGAAAUUCGUAGAUAUCGGGAGGAACACCUGUGGCGAAGGCGGCCACCUGGACAACAACUGACGCUGAGACGCGAAAGCGUGGGUAGCAAACAGGAUUAGAUACCCCUGUAGUCCCUGAGCGGGCUGGCAAGGCGCAU